CACCAACAUUGCUGAGGGAAAGAAGUUGAACGAAGAUAACAAAACAGAGGAGUUUAUUGCGUGAUCUCACGUAAAUACGACUGGCUCGCUACGCUGCCAACAUGCGCCCGGUGUGAGUUGAUGCCGGGCAGAGGACGGAGCUAAACCACGGUGCAGCCGUUCCAUGGCGCUUACGUCCCCUGUCAAUUUCUUCACAACAUCAUCGACCAUCUCAGAGAAGAUUCAAAUGCCUUGAUCAAGACCUUUGAG
Molecule: long non-coding RNA, 249 nt
Organism: Larimichthys crocea (large yellow croaker)
Lineage: Eukaryota; Metazoa; Chordata; Actinopteri; Sciaenidae
Exons: 3
Source: RefSeq, a predicted model, not a curated record